RNAcentral lists this long non-coding RNA (1108 nucleotides) under Mus musculus (house mouse). Its description in RNAcentral is "RIKEN cDNA 1700040G22 gene (1700040G22Rik)". The record is from RNAcentral. Lineage: Eukaryota; Metazoa; Chordata; Mammalia; Rodentia; Muridae.
UAUCCUGCUCAUGCUUACAUGGAGUACCAGGCACCAUUGCUUCAAAGGGAGUUUUCAGGAGCUUACAUUCAAGUGGAUCAAGGACCUCAACAUGAAACCAGAUACACUGAAUUUAAUAGAAGAGAAAGUGGAAAAUAAACUCGAAUACAUUGGCAUAGUGAGAAAUUUCCUGAAUAUAACACACCAAUAGCUGAGACUCUAAGACCAACAAUCCAUAAAUGGGACCUCAUGGAACAGCAAAAUUUCUUUAAAGCAAAGGACACUGUCAACAAGACAAAAGGCAAGGUUCAGAGGUCACCAUGGAGAAGAUAGUUGAAAGAUUGCAAGAACCAAAUGUAGUGAAUGACUACAAAGAAAGUCUGUUUUCCAGAAACAAUAAGGCAUUUGUACACGUGAAAUGAUAGUGACUAAAAUUAUAUGUAGAAGACAAAUUCAACAUCAAGCCAGACAAAGUCCAGCAUCUAGGGACAAGAGGUUUCAGUCAUGGUCUUACCAGCGGGAUGCUGUCACCAGUAACAAGAUAGAGUCUAUUUUUAAUAUUUCUGAUGGAGAUCAUGGUGAUGACUAUGAUCUGUACUGCUUCUGGAGAAACUGCUGAAUUCCAUGGUCCAUACUGAUACCCAAGAUCAUUAUGAGAAAUUGGGCAGGAAUCCAUUAUAUCUAUUGCUGAUGGAGAUGCUGAUGAUGGCUAUGAUCUGUGUUGCUGCUUGAGAAUCUGAUAAAUUCCAAAGUCCUUACUGAUGUUUGAAUUCAUAUUGAGAUGAAUUGUACUCCCAGCCUAACCAUUUUGAUGUCAUGAUGCAUCCUACCACUAGAGAAGAGGUUUCUCUACAAGGUCCAACUAGGUAUCUGAAAAUGUCUGAAUGUGCAUGAUAUUUCCUGGCAAAGACAAGAUGGUAUACCCAGAUAAAUGCUGCCAUAGGCACCAAGGUCAUGAGUGACCCUUGCUUUGGACCUUACUGCCACUUUGGACCUGAUCCCAACUGCCAAGGGAAAUAUAUUGUUGUCACUCAUCAGUGACAAUUGUCAAUUUUGGAGAAGGUCCCGUGAGGUGCUGAGAAGAAGUUAUAUCCUUUUGUUUUAGAAUAAAAUGUUGCGUAGAUAUCUG